Molecule: ribosomal RNA, 960 nt
Filed under: uncultured bacterium
Lineage: Bacteria
Description: bacterial SSU rRNA
Rfam family: Bacterial small subunit ribosomal RNA
Source: RNAcentral
CUUAUGCAUGCAGUUGAGCGAAGCUUUUCAGUAGUUUACUACAGAAAAUGACUGAGCGGCGAACGGGCGAGUAACGCGUGAGCAAUCUACCUUAGUUACUGGGAUAGCCCGAGGAAACUCGGAUUAAUACCGGAUAUUCUUAUUUUUUCACAUGAAGUUUUAAGGAAAGGUCAGCCGAACUAAGAUGAGCUCGCGUUCUAUCAGCUAGUUGGUGGGGUAAAAGCCUACCAAGGCUACGACGGAUAGCUGGUCUGAGAGGACGAUCAGCCACACUGGGACUGAGACACGGCCCAGACUCCUACGGGAGGCUGCAGCAGGGAAUAUUGCGCAAUGAGCGAAAGCUUGACGCAGCGACACCGCGUGUGGGAUGACGGUUCUAGGAUUGUAAACCACUUUCAGGAGGGAAGAAAAUGACGGUACCUCCACAAGAAGACCCGGCCAACUACGUGCCAGCAGCCGCGGUAAUACGUAGGGGUCAAGCGUUGUCCGGAUUUAUUGGGCGUAAAGAGCUCGUAGGCGGUUCAACAAGUCGGUCGUAAAAGUUUAGGGCUCAACCCUAAAAUGUCGAUCGAUACUGUUGUGACUAGGAUACGGUAGAGGUGAAUGGAAUUCCGAGUGUAGCGGUGAAAUGCGUAGAUAUUCGGAGGAACACCAAUUGCGAAGGCAGUUCACUGGACCGUGAUCGACGCUGAGGAGCGAAAGCUAGGGGAGCAAACAGGAUUAGAUACCCUGGUAGUCCUAGCUGUAAACGAUGGAUACUAGAUGUAGGAACUGGAUUGACGGUUUCUGUAUCGUAGCUAACGCGUUAAGUAUCCCGCCUGGGGAGUACGGUCGCAAGACUAAAACUCAAAGGAAUUGACGGGACCCCGCACAAGCGGCGGAGCAUGCGGCUUAAUUCGAUGAUACCCGUAGAACCUUACCUGGACUUGACAUAUAGGGAAAAGCUAAAGAAAUUUAGUG